RNAcentral lists this ribosomal RNA (472 nucleotides) under uncultured organism. Its description in RNAcentral is "partial 16S ribosomal RNA". It matches the Rfam family "Bacterial small subunit ribosomal RNA", at positions 335 to 799 of the family's 1533-position model. The record is from RNAcentral.
ACUCCUACGGGAGGCAGCAGUGGGGAAUUUUGGACAAUGGGCGAAAGCCUGAUCCAGCAAUGCCCGUGUGUGAAGAAGGCCUUCGGGUUGUAAAGCACUUUUGUCCGGAAAGAAAUCCUUGGCUCUAAUACAGUCGGGGGAUGACGGUACCGGAAGAAUAAGCACCGGCUAACUACGUGCCAGCAGCCGCGGUAAUACGUAGGGUGCGAGCGUUAAUCGGAAUUACUGGGCGUAAAGCGUGCGCAGGCGGUUUGCUAAGACCGAUGUGAAAUCCCCGGGCUCAACCUGGGAACUGCAUUGGUGACUGGCAGGCUAGAGUAUGGCAGAGGGGGGUAGAAUUCCACGUGUAGCAGUGAAAUGCGUAGAGAUGUGGAGGAAUACCGAUGGCGAAGGCAGCCCCCUGGGCCAAUACUGACGCUCAUGCACGAAAGCGUGGGGAGCAAACAGGAUUAGAAACCCCAGUAGUCCCAUG